CCCUUAGACGUUCUGGGCCGCACGCGCGCUACACUGACGAAGGCAACGAGCUUUCCUUUACCGAAAGGUACGGGUAAUCUUUUGAAACUUCGUCGUGCUGGGGAUAGAUCCUUGCAAUUUUUGAUCUUAAACGAGGAAUGCCUAGUAAGCGCAAGUCAUCAACUUGCGUUGAUUACGUCCCUGCCCUUUGUACACACCGCCCGUCGCUACUACCGAUUGAAUGGUUUAGUGAGGCCUUCGGAUCCGCGACUCGUUUUGUGGAGAAGUUGGACAAACUCAGUCAUUUAGAGGGAGUAAAAGUCGUAACA
RNAcentral lists this ribosomal RNA (308 nucleotides) under uncultured eukaryote. Its description in RNAcentral is "partial 18S ribosomal RNA". It matches the Rfam family "Eukaryotic small subunit ribosomal RNA", at positions 1470 to 1796 of the family's 1831-position model. The record is from RNAcentral.